Macaca mulatta (Rhesus monkey) is the source of this 2630-nucleotide long non-coding RNA. NCBI's taxonomy places the organism in Eukaryota, Metazoa, Chordata, Mammalia, Primates, Cercopithecidae. The record is from Ensembl.
AAACUAGAGGCAGCCAAGGAGGAUGCUGUUGCAAGAGAUUCCAGGAAAAGAUAAUGAUAAUGUGGACUUGGAAGAUGGCAGAGGAGUUGCAGAAAAGUGACCAGAUUUUAGAGAUGUCCAGCUCCAACCUGGUUUCAUAGACAUGGUAAUACUGGAACAACCUCUUCUCCAAGAUUCUCAGGCAGUCAGAGGCCCUGAGAAGAGAGGAUCAGAAUAAAGAUUGAUUUCCUCAUUGAUGUGAAUUUUGUCACAACCACCAUCUUUGGAAUUCAGAUGUUACUAUGAAGUAUUAAGAUCUUCCUCUUUAGUUUUCUGAAACUUUACAUGAACUGUCAAGGUGUACAAAAGAAAGCAGAGUCUGUAUGAUUACAUAAGAAAACAAAACCUUGCCUUGCUUUCACUGAAGGAUUUCUAGAACUGUGUAUCUGUACUCCUGCUCUAUUUUAAAACUCAGAAGCAAUGCUUGUAGAUGCAACAGCCACCUUCUUAUCAAAGAGCUGAAAGUUCCACAUUGAAGACAGCAGAGCAGGAAGAUAAAAGCAUGCUGAUUCCUUGAGCAGCUGUUAAUUCUCUUUUUAUAAGUGAGGAAACUGAGGAUCAGGGACAUUGAUUAUCCCUGGUCAGUUACUGCUUAAACCGCAGAGCUGGGGUUCAAAUCCAUGUUUAUAUUACCUCAAAGUUAUUUAUUUUUUUACUAUAUUUCAAAGUUUCCUAAAAGGAUGAACAUAUUUAGAACCCUUUCUCCCCACAUCUACAGAUUGUGAUGGCAAAGCAACCUGUGAUGGACAAAACAAAGUAUCCAAUAUCUUUGACUCAGAACUACAAAUAUUUCUUACAUGUUCUCUUUAUUAAAUACUAACAACUCCAGCCUGAUUAACAAAAUGACCACGCAGUUCUCUGGCAUUCAUCUUCUAUUCAUGCCAGUAAAAAAAGGCUUCAGUGAUAAGCAACUCGUGAUGAGUGUCAGCAACAAGUAGUUGCCACCCAAAGAACACACACAAGAAAAUGGCCUAACAGAGAGGUCACAAACAAAGGGAUAAUAAAUGUGGAUUGGUUACCAUGUAUGUUUACUAACUUGCUUGAGCUCAUAUAAAUAUCACUAAUAAUUAAGGUUUCUUGCUGCUCUUUUAAAACUCUGGAGCUGAAUUCUUAGGUGGCAACAAAUAACCGGAGCUGCUCCCUCCCAGUACACCAUCCCAUUCUACGCUCCUUCUCUGACUCUAAGCUAGAAUAUUUGUUUCCAUCUAUCAUCAUGUUUGUUCUAUUGUUUUUCUUGUAAUAGAAAAAUAUUGUAUCUCUAUCAAAUAUUUGAUAUUUACCUAAAAUAAAAAUAGAUGGCUAGAGCUGCCUGUUUCUUAUACCUGGCCCACUAAGGCAUUUCAGCUACCUGCCAGAAGGCAUAGAAUUUGAACAGACACUCAGAUGUUUGCUUCCGAAAUCUGUUUCCAGCUCAUUCGCAGACUCCCAUUUCACAUACCUUACUUCAGCAAGCCUCCACAGCAACUACUGAAGUGAACAUUAUUAUUCUCAUUGGGAUCCAAGAGGUUAGCUGAUUUUUCUGAGAUCUUGUUCUUGUGUAAUAGCUGUGUUGUUAGAAUUGUGAUUGCUGUUUUGUUGAUUUACAAAACUGUUAUCUCUGAAUAUCUGUUUUGGGAAAACAGAAAUGAGUAGGAUAGGUAGACUAAUGGACCUUUGUCUUACCUAACUUGGGACCUAACAUUAUCACUUCUUCAUUACCUUUUUCCUUUCUUAUAAGUUAGCUAACAUUAUUGUACACUAUGUACCAGGCACUGUAUUAAUUGCUUUACAUGCAUUGAUUAAUUUAAUCAUAAUAACACUCUGAAAUAUGUUGAAGGAUAAGUUUUGUAAGAGGAAUCAUGAUUCACACACAAAUAUAAAAUAAGCAUGUGUCUAUGAUUUUAUGUCAAUGACUAAAUCAGUAAGAUAUUAAAAUGAGGAUCCAAAGAGCAGACAAAGUAACCCAUCAGGAAUGCUAAAAUGAAUUUACUUUAUAGGUACAAAACUGAUAGACAGCCACAGGACAAUCAUCAAUGGCAUACCACUAGUUCUUUGUGGGUUUUUAAAUUUUGUUUUGUUUUAGAGAUAAGGUCUCUCCCUGUUGCCCAGGCUGGUCUCUAACACCUGGAUUUAAGGAAUCCACCCACCUAAGCCUCCUGAGUAGCUGGGAUUACAGGGUCGGGCCCCCACAAUUUGCAUUCCUUUGAAUAAGAAUUAUUUGUAUUACUCUGUUUUUUUGCAAUUUAUAGAGUCAUAAAGUACCUCAAAGACAAUGAAAUGCAGAGAAAAUCCAGAAGUAUAAGCUAGAUAGGACAUCCAGUAAUCUUUUUUUCUUCUCUUUUCAAAGUAUCUCACAAAUUUUCCUGAGUACUUUUAUUGUUAUUCCCCUUUUACAAGUGAGGAAAUUAUUAAGUAAAUUUUCCAAGGUCCCAUAACCAGUAAGUGGUAGAAACAUAUGUGAACACAAGUCUAACUGAAUCUGGAAAAAUAAUUCAGUUUAUUGAAUCAGUUUUCCUCUUGGAGGCGGAGCUUGCAGUGAGCCGAGAUCGUGCCACUGCACUCCAGCCUGGGUGACAGAGCAAGACUUCCGUCUCAAAAAAAAAAAAAAAAAA